Molecule: ribosomal RNA, 152 nt
Filed under: Cladonia piedadensis
Lineage: Eukaryota; Fungi; Ascomycota; Lecanoromycetes; Lecanorales; Cladoniaceae
Description: 5.8S ribosomal RNA
Rfam family: 5.8S ribosomal RNA
About the family: 5.8S ribosomal RNA (5.8S rRNA) is a component of the large subunit of the eukaryotic ribosome. It is transcribed by RNA polymerase I as part of the 45S precursor that also contains 18S and 28S rRNA. Functionally, it is thought that 5.8S rRNA may be involved in ribosome translocation.
Source: RNAcentral
CUUUCAACAACGGAUCUCUUGGUUCUGGCAUCGAUGAAGAACGCAGCGAAAUGCGAUAAGUAAUGUGAAUUGCAGAAUUCAGGGAAUCAUCGAAUCUUUGAACGCACAUUGCGCCCCUCGGUAUUCCGGGGGGCAUGCCUGUUCGAGCGUCA